GCCUACGGGGGGCAGCAGUAGGGAAUUUUCGUCAAUGGGCGCAAGCCUGAACGAGCAAUGCCGCGUGAACGAGGAAGGUCUUCGGAUCGUAAAGUUCUGUUGAAGGGGAAAAAGAGCGGAGAGAGGAAAUGGUCUCCGAUUGAUAUUACCCUUCGAGGAAGUCACGGCUAACUACGUGCCAGCAGCCGCGGUAAUACGUAGGUGGCGAGCGUUAUCCGGAAUGAUUGGGCGUAAAGGGUGCGUAGGCGGCCUGCUAAGUCUGGAGUGAAAGGUACCGGCUCAACGGGUACAGGCUCUGGAAACUG
Molecule: ribosomal RNA, 305 nt
Filed under: uncultured bacterium
Lineage: Bacteria
Description: bacterial SSU rRNA
Rfam family: Bacterial small subunit ribosomal RNA
Source: RNAcentral